UACGGAAGGGGCUAGCGCUAUUCGGAAUUACUGGGCGUAAAGAGCGCGUAGGCGGCUUACCAAGUUGGGGGUGAAAUCCCGGAGCUCAACUCCGGAACUGCCUUCAAAACUGGUAGGCUCGAGUCCGGAAGAGGGGCGUGGAAUUCCCAGUGUAGAGGUGAAAUUCGUAGAUAUUGGGAAGAACACCGGUGGCGAAGGCGGCGCCCUGGUCCGGUACUGACGCUGGGGCGCGAAAGCGUGGGGAGCAAACAGG
This 253-nucleotide ribosomal RNA is filed under the name uncultured bacterium. Its description in RNAcentral is "partial 16S ribosomal RNA". It matches the Rfam family "Bacterial small subunit ribosomal RNA", at positions 524 to 776 of the family's 1533-position model. The record is from RNAcentral.